AGAAUUUUUCACAAUGGGCGAAAGCCUGAUGGAGCGACGCCGCGUGGGGGAUGAAUGGCUUCGGCCCGUAAACCCCUGUCAUGGGCGAACAAGGCUUCCGAGUGAACCGCUCGGAGGAUUGAUAGUAGCUCAAGCGGAAGGGACCGCUAACUCUGUGCCAGCAGCCGCGGUAAUACAGAGGUCCCAAGCGUUGUUCGGAUUCACUGGGCGUAAAGGGUGCGUAGGUGGUUGGGUAAGUCUGAUGUGAAAUCUCUGAGCUUAACUCAGAAACUGCAUUGGAUACUAUCCGGCUAGAGGGUUGGAGGGGAGACUGGAAUUCUCGGUGUAGCAGUGAAAUGCGUAGAUAUCGAGAGGAACACCUGUGGCGAAGGCGAGUCUCUGGACAAUUCCUGACGCUGAGGCACGAAAGCUAGGGGAGCAAAC
Molecule: ribosomal RNA, 423 nt
Filed under: uncultured bacterium
Lineage: Bacteria
Description: bacterial SSU rRNA
Rfam family: Bacterial small subunit ribosomal RNA
Source: RNAcentral